GCGUUGCUUCUUUCGUGAACUCAUUCUUCCCUUUAUAUAAGUGCUCAUUUUAUGUUCUGACAGCCAUAUAUUGGCAUGAAAAAUGGAGAAGCUCGAGAACUCUACAAUCUUCACCUCCUGCCUUUUUCUCUUCCUCCUUGCCACACCUUGCUUUUCCAAAGUAGGUGAAUCGGAUUUGAUGGAUACUGAGGUUUAUGAAAUCGAUUAUAGAGGUCCGGAGACUCACUCAUCAGUUCCAUCACCUGGUCACUCUUACGGGAAGAAGUCUUUGCCUUUGAUCCACAAAGAAAAUGCCAUGGCAACCCCAAAACCUAAUAGCAUUGAAGGUGCUAACAUGGGAAGAAAGGUGAAGAAAGUACAUGGAUGAAGAUACUGAUCUGGACAGUGGGAGUAGUGAUAGUUUUGAUUCACAAUUUGGUCCCUUUCAGUAUAGAUAUCAAUUCUGAAUAUGUAUUAAUAUAAAGAUAAAUAUAUAUAGCAAUCUUUAAUUUAUUACAUGUUUUUAUUGCCUUGAGUAAAUGAAGGGCUUCAAGAUCUUAUAUAUGUUCAGAACAAUGAAUAUAUAUUAUCCUUGUAAUUAUCAUUAA
Molecule: non-coding RNA, 587 nt
Organism: Malus domestica (apple)
Lineage: Eukaryota; Viridiplantae; Streptophyta; Magnoliopsida; Rosales; Rosaceae
Source: RefSeq, a predicted model, not a curated record